GACGAACGCUGGCGGCGUGCCUAAUACAUGCAAGUAGAACGCACAGUUUAUACCGUAGCUUGCUACACCAUAGACUGUGAGUUGCGAACGGGUGAGUAACGCGUAGGUAACCUGCCUGGUAGCGGGGGAUAACUAUUGGAAACGUUAGCUAAUACCGCAUAAUAUUAAUUAUUGCAUGAUAAUUAAUUGAAAGGUGCAAUUGCACCACUACCAGAUGGACCUGCGUUGUAUUAGCUAGUAGGUGAGGUAACGGCUCACCUAGGCGACGAUACAUAGCCGACCUGAGAGGGUGGUCGGCCACACUGGGACUGAGACACGGCCCAGACUCCUACGGGAGGCAGCAGUAGGGAAUCUUCGGCAAUGGACGAAAGUCUGACCGAGCAACGCCGCGUGAGUGAAGAAGGUUUUCGGAUCGUAAAGCUCUGUUGUAAGAGAAGAACGGGUGUGAGAGUGGAAAGUUCACACUGUGACGGUAUCUUACCAGAAAGGGACGGCUAACUACGUG
Molecule: ribosomal RNA, 505 nt
Filed under: uncultured bacterium
Lineage: Bacteria
Description: partial 16S ribosomal RNA
Rfam family: Bacterial small subunit ribosomal RNA
Source: RNAcentral